AGCUUUUCGCAGUGGCAGUAUCAUAACCAAUGAGGUUUAUCCAAGGUGCGAUUAUUGCUAAUUGAAAACUUCUCCCAAUACCCCGCUGUGACAACUUGCAAUACAGUCGGCACUGGCAAUUUUUGACAUCUCUACAGAG
Molecule: small nuclear RNA, 139 nt
Filed under: Cebus imitator (Panamanian white-faced capuchin)
Lineage: Eukaryota; Metazoa; Chordata; Mammalia; Primates; Cebidae
Description: U4 spliceosomal RNA (ENSCCAG00000007798.1)
Rfam family: U4 spliceosomal RNA
About the family: U4 small nuclear RNA (U4 snRNA) is a component of the major U2-dependent spliceosome. The structure of U4 snRNA from yeast and human has been reported.
Source: RNAcentral